This 515-nucleotide long non-coding RNA is filed under the name Lonchura striata (white-rumped munia). Its description in RNAcentral is "domestica (Bengalese finch) lncRNA (ENSLSDG00000002878.1)". Lineage: Eukaryota; Metazoa; Chordata; Aves; Passeriformes; Estrildidae. The record is from RNAcentral.
GCGUGGCUUGAGAAGAAAGGGGCGGGGUUUAAUUGGAUGUGGACGUGGUUUGGGCGGUGGGCGUGGCCUGAGUGGGCGUGUCCCGCAGGAGGAGGAGGAGGAGGAGGAGGAAGGCCGAGGGGGCGGAGCCAAAGCGCCGGGGCUGGGGGGGGGGCGGCGCUACGUGCCCCCCCGCCUGGUGCCCGUGGCCUGCGAGCCCCCUGAGGACGCCGUUUCCCGCUCCCAAUCCCGGCUCCGGCGCCGGGCCCUCUCCUCGCUGGCGCUGCGGGAGCUGCGGGACGAGUUGGGGGAGGGGCCCCGGCAGGAGGGGGAGGGGCCGGGCCACGCCCCCCCCGCCCAGAUCCACAGGCGCCGCUUUGAGGAGUCGAUGCUGCGGCGCCUCAGCGCCCCCUGGCGGCCGCCAAAGGGGGCGGGGCCAGGCCUGGAUGACGUCACCAACCUCGGGGCGUUUCCCGCCCUUUUGGGAGCGGCCAAUCAGGUGCGGGGGGCGUGGCCUGGGGGGGGAAAAGGCGGGA